GACGAACGCUGGCGGCGUGCUUAACACAUGCAAGUCGAACGAAGAGCGAUGGAAGCUUGCUUCUAUCAAUCUUAGUGGCGAACGGGUGAGUAACGCGUAAUCAACCUGCCCUUCAGAGGGGGACAACAGUUGGAAACGACUGCUAAUACCGCAUACGAUCUAAUCUCGGCAUCGAGGAUAGAUGAACGGUGGCCUCUACAUGUAAGCUAUCACUGAAGGAGGGGAUUGCGUCGGAUUAGCUAGUUGGAGGGGUAACGGCCCACCAAGGCGAUGAUCAGUAGCCGGUCUGAGAGGAUGAACGGCCACAUUGGGACUGAGACACGGCCCAGACUCCUACGGGAAGCAGCAGUGGGGAAUCUUCCGCAAUGGACGAAAGUCUGACGGAGCAACGCCGCGUGAGGGAUGACGGCCUUCGGGUUGUAAAGCUCUGUUAAUCGGGACGAAAGGCCUUCUUGCGAAUAGUGAGAAGGAUUGACGGUACCGGAAUAGAAAGCCACGGCUAACUACGUG
This 510-nucleotide ribosomal RNA is filed under the name uncultured bacterium. RNAcentral's name for it is "partial 16S ribosomal RNA". It matches the Rfam family "Bacterial small subunit ribosomal RNA", at positions 28 to 507 of the family's 1533-position model. The record is from RNAcentral.